RNAcentral lists this non-coding RNA (772 nucleotides) under Andrena angustior. The record is from RNAcentral. Lineage: Eukaryota; Metazoa; Arthropoda; Insecta; Hymenoptera; Andrenidae.
AAAUAAUUUAAUUUUAGUUAAUUAGUUAAUUGAAUUAAUUGAUCUAUAAAUUUAGUUUUUAAAAUUAUUGUUAUUUAAAUAAUAAUAAUUUUUGUGUAGAGAUUUAAUUUAAAAAUAAAUGAAAGUUUGAUUUAGUAAUUAAAUUUAGUAAAGGUAAUUUUAGUGCCAGCAACAGCGGUUAAACUUAAUUUGUAAAUUAAUUUUUUUAAUUUUUGAAUUAAUGUAUAUUAUUUUGUUAAAAUUAAUUAAAUUUAUUAAAAGAUUGGUGAAAUAUCUUUUUUAUAAUAUAUUAAUUUUUGUUUUACUAAUAUUUGUUAAAUUUUUGUAAAAACUAGGAUUAGAUACCCUACUAUAAAAAUGAUUUAGAUUGAAUUAAUAAUUAAAUGUAAAUCAUUAAAAUUAAUAAAUAUGGCGGCUUUAUAAUUUAUUUAGAGGAAUUUGUGUAUUAAUUGAUGAUCCACAAUAGGACUAACUAUAAUUUAUCUUUGUAUAUUGCUGUUUGAAGAGUUUAUUUAUAUAUUAUUCUUAUAAUAUUUAUUUGAAUAUUAAUUCAAGUCAAAAUGCAGGAUAUUAUUGAUUAUAUGAAUUACAAUAAAUUGGAUUUUUGGAUAAAUUAUUUUAAUAUAGUUUUGAAAUUGGAUUUAAAAGUAAAUUUAUUGAAUUAAAUUUAUUGAAGAUAAUUUUAUUUAGUGUACAAAUUGCCCGUCAUUCUCAUUAUAAAUGAGGAAAGUCGUAACAUAGUAAAUGUACUGGAAAGUGUAUUUUGUUAAAA